GGCAGCUACAGCUCCAAUUAGACCCCUAGCCUGGGAACAUCCAUAUGCCAGGAGUGUGGCCCUAAAAAGACAAAAAAAAAAAAAAAGAAUUUGAUUCUGCUUGUUAAAGUUUAUUGAAUUUAUACGUUUACUUUAAAAUUUGCUUAUGGGAACCAGUUUAGCAGAUAAGCAAGCUACACUGAGUAACCUGGUGACAGUUUUUCACCACCACUCCCUAUCAAGUCUGGGAAACAUAUAUUCCAGAAUCCUCUUCUUUGUAUGGUUCUGGACUUGACUUUGUUAAUGAGAGGAAAUUCUGUGAGAUUUGGAUGUGGAAGUGAAAUGGAACCUGUAUUUCUCAGAAGGGUCUGAUAACCAUAAAUAGCAGUUUUUUAGACUUUCCAUGAGCAAUCAACUUGCAGGCACGGUGGACACACAUUCAGGUUGAAGACAUCCCCCCAAGAGCUUGCACCAUAUUUUCCAUAAAGCCAAGUGGUCACAUCUCAUUCUGUCCCAUUUGAGUCUUGGCUUCGGCAGUCACUCCAGAGCAUUUUUCAGCUCCAGCCUUAUGGAAAUUCGUAGCAACUCUUUCAUAUUUGUGUAAACUCUAAUUUUUAUUUACACCCCUGAUUAUGCUAAUACUUACAGUGGCUCCAUGUUCCUUAAAAAACCAAAUUGAUAAAGGCUUUGAGCUAUGAACCUUAAGUUAAAAGCAAAGUAGUUUUUUGGAAGAAGUUGAAUGAGUCUUCAGAAGAGACUUAAAAAAAGAGACUCAGAGAGAGAGAAGACCAUUUGAAGAUGAUUACAGUGAUGCAGUGAUGCAAUGAUGCAGUUUCAAACCAAGGAGCGCUAAGGAUUGCUGAGAGCCAAAAGAAAAGAAGAAUUCUUCCCUAGAGCCUUCAAAGGGAGCUUGGCUCUGCUGAUACCUUGGUUUCAGGCUCCUAGCACCCAGAAUUGUGAGAGAAUAAAUUACUAUUGUUUUAGGCUAAUUUGUGGUCAUUUGUUACGGGCAUCCUAGGAAAUCAGUAUGACUAGUUUGAAACAAAGCUUAUGUUGAGAGUUUAGCUAAGCUACUCCAUGGUAUUGCUGCCUCGGCAUUCAUUUUGUUUGGCUAAGGGAGCUUCAGGGGCCCUAGACUGACACUAGCCCUCUAUGCAGAUUGAUACUCUAGAUAGCAGUCUCAGAGUUAUGAGCAAAUGUAAAUCCCUAAAAUGACUUCCCCAGUAGCCCUUGUGAUCCACAGUCUUCCCUGCCUCCCAGAACCUGGAUGCCUCAUGUAUUCUUAGAUAGGACCUCCAUGGGGGCUUGCUAAAACCCUGCUUUUUUAGUUUGCAUUGACCAAGCUGGCCCUAGCUUUGAGCCUCAAAGCAUUCUACCCAUGCACCCUAAUAAAAGUAUGUACUUCACCAAGUUCCUGUCUUUCUGUCUACACUCUGCCUUGACCUCCUCUUGUGGCCCUUUGAGGCAUGCUGUGUACUUCCUCCAGGACCUGUGUAUAAGAAACUUAGCCUAUUUCAAUUUUUUUUUGUGGUCUGUUGUUGAACCACAACUUACCAUCCAAUGCUCUGCGUUCUACUUAACUAAUGCUAAUUUAACAAAGUUGUAGAAGCUUGUUAAUAAUUUUCUUAUGCCAAUAUUUUCCUCUUCUAACAAAGUUGUAGCAGCUUGUUAAUAAGUUUCUUAUGCCAAUAUUUUCCUCUUCCUUUUCUUCUUCCAUCAUGCAGCAUAGAGUAUGUGAUAAAUAUAUGGUGGCAUGAAUCCUAGGAUGUUUAUAUUAUAAAAUUAAUUUGCUACAUUAUAUAAAACUAACGUUUAUCAUAUAUUCAUUGUGUAUUAUACAAAUGAUUUGGAAAAAGAAAAAAAAUCAUAUUUCACUGUACCAAUUUGUAAUAUACUGUGGAUCAAACCAAGCUCACUAAAACAGUCAUUGGUAAAAUGUAAUCUGGGGAUCACAUUCAGUCACCUGCCUGUUUUUGUAAAUAAAUUUGAUGGAACACAACCACACCUAUCCUUUUAUAUCCUCUAUUGCUGUUUCAUGUUACAAUGGCAAAGUUAAAUAGUGCAACAGAGACUAUAUAGCCCACAAAUCUGAAAUCAUUUACUCUCUGUCUCUUUAUAGAAAAAUAUGACCAACUUUUGCAGUAAGAUACAAUUACAUAUAAUGAAACAUCUCAUUAUACAUGGUCGACAUAUAACAUAUGUGCUAGUGUUUCACCAUUACUAAAAUCAAAAUGUGUCUCCAUCGUAGUUUUCUUUUUUUCAUUUUCAAGAUAUUGCAAAUUUGCCUUUGGAAUUGAUUUGUCAUUGUCCCACAAUCUUCAUCUAAUUACUGCAGUUCAGACAGUAGCUAUAGAUAAAUGUUUGUUGAAUACUUAUUCAGUUCAUUCAUUUAAUCCCAUUAAUUUAAUCAGAAAUUUGUCAGCUGUAAUAUAUGGUAGAAAUGUUAGUAUUAAUUAUAUACUGAUGUGUUAAUUAUAUGUUUGCAAUUUUACCAUUAACACCAGCAUGAGUAUAUUAAUCGCAAAGAUUCUUGAUGAAUCUGUUGACAGAAAUGUGAGGAGAGACACUGUAAGUCAAGAUAUGUUUUGCUGAUGCCAGGGAAAGUAAGGUCAAAGACACUAGCUUAAUUAUGAACAGGGAUUUGAGACCGAGGACUAUGGGGAAAGCAGGAAAAAGCACAUCUUUAGACAUCUGAGCUCUUUCCUUGGAAGAGAAAUAAAACAAGCCAUCACAUAUAGCAAGAUAUCCAAGGGAUGAAACUGAGAGGAAUUGAGGUGAAUAAGAAAAAUUUUCAAUAGAAGAAUGGGUGAAAUGAAGUUUAAAGUUCUAGGUAAAAAAAAUAGAGGCAGGCAUGGGUUAACUCUGAUUGUUCCAUGUUUCCAGUCUAGAACAAGCAGGAUGAACAUUAGAAUGACUUUGAUUUUUAUUGGGGUUUGUUUUUAAAUACAAAAGUAUUGAUUCUGAAUCUUUGGAUGUGGGAUUUGGUGUUUGUAUUUUAAGAGAAUACAAUCAUUUUGAUAAUCAUGCAGGUUUGAGAAUCACUAACUCAGUUAGGAAAGAGUUAAUAUUCUAUCACAAAUAUUUGGGAUUUGGCACCAAGCCUCUCUUGUCCUAUGUCUGACAUCCUCAUGGUGAUUCUAAUUCUGACAACUCUUGUUCUCUCCUGUUUUCUUUGGUUUGAGUUUCCUGUAUUAGUAAUCCAUUGAAUGUUUGGUUCAUAUGUAGAUCUUUGUUUGCUUUUAUCUUUUGUCUUUUCCCCUCAUGAACUUUGCCAUGUCUAGAUGCCAAUAUGGUAGCAUGGACAUUGUUGGCUGCAGAUAAACUUCUCUGACAGAGGUUGCUGGCAUAGGUUUCUGGGUAACUUCUGUUCUGGGGUUUCCCUUUUAUCAACUUACUCCUUUUCACUGUUAUUCUCAUUUGCCGUGCUCUUUAGGUUGUGUUUUUUACAAAUGGCUCAUUUUCCUAAGAAUCUCCACCCAAGUCCCUUGCAAAUGAAACUUAUAGAAUCUCCCAUGACAACUAUCAAAUCUUUCUCCUCCUUUUCUGUAACUAUUGAUCCCACAUUUGUUUUUUGUUUGUUUGUUUGUCUUUUCUAGGGCUGCAUCCAUGGCAUAUGGAGGUUCCCAGGCUAGGGCUCUAAUCGGAGCUGUAGCAGCUGGCCUACACCACAGCCACCACAACACCAGAUCCGAGCCACAUCUGCAACCUGCACCAUAGCUCACAGCAAUGCCAGAUCCUUAACCCAUUGAGCGAGGCCAGGGAUUGAACUCACAACCUCAUGGUUCCUAGUCGGAUUUGGUAACUACUGAGCCACGAAGGGAACUUCUGUUUGUUUUGUUUUUUAUUGCCACACCCAUGGCAUAUGGAAGUUUCCAGGCUAGGGAUUGAAUACGAGCCACAGCUGUGACCUGUACCACAGCUGCAGCAACACUGAAUUCUUGAACCUAUUAUGUCAGGUCAGGGAUCAAACCUGCACCUCCGCAGCAACCCAAGCUUCUGCAGUCAGAUUCUUAACCCUCCAUGCCACAGUGGGAACUCCCCACCAUUGUUAAUAUUCUAUGUGAAAUUCUAAUUUCAACUGGAAAACUAUUGAUUUUAUAAAUACCACUAAUUAAUGUAGCUCUAAGUGUAUAUAUUUUGAUAGAAGCAUAAACAUAGUAAUGAGAAAUUAUUCUUGCCAGGCAAUAGAAAAUGCUGUCACCUGGCUCUUCAGGAUUGACAACAAUAACAGUAAAAAUAACAGUAACAAAAGUUUAAUUGACCUAGAAAUUUUCAUACUAAGUGAAGUUAUUCAGGCAGAGAAAGACAAAUAUCAUAUGUGAUUACUAAUUUGUAGAAUCUAAUAAAAAUGAUACAAAAGAACUUACAAAACAGAAACAGACUCAAAGAUUUAGAAACCAAAUUUAUGGUUACCAAAGGGGAAAUAUGGAAGGGGAGGGAAAAAUUAGGGGAUUGGUAUUUACACAUACACACUGCAGUAUAUAAAAUAGAUAGGGGAGAGGCUUGUCGCUCAGUGGGUUAAGAACCUGACACAGUGUCCAUGAAGAUGUGGGUUCAAUCCCUGACCUCACUCAGUGGGUGAAGGAUCUGGCACUGCUGCAAGCUUUGGCACAGGUUGCAGACGCGGCUCAGAUCUGGUGUUGAUGUGGCUGUGGUGUAGGCUGGCAGCUACAGGUCUGAUUCUGCCCCUAGGCUGGGAACUUCCAUAUG
RNAcentral lists this long non-coding RNA (4689 nucleotides) under Sus scrofa (pig). RNAcentral describes it as "lncRNA (ENSSSCG00060023010.1)". Lineage: Eukaryota; Metazoa; Chordata; Mammalia; Artiodactyla; Suidae. The record is from RNAcentral.